AGUCAGCAGAGAGGCUACAACUGAGGAGCUUUCAUAAAUCAUAAAUCACAGGAUUUACAAUUUGGGGAACUAUGAGAGGAGAUAAACAACAAACUGAGGUUUUUGAGAUAUUGGGAAUGUUGCUGACCUGUAAUAUUGAUUCCCAUUGUGAAUUUCUUUUAUUAUGUACUUGUUUUUUCAUAGUAGUAGAUAUUAUAUUGCCUAUAUUCCUUUCUGAUAAUUUUGGGAACAUAGAACAGUAAGAUUUUGAUAUUUGUAACAUUUAGCACCUGAGUGCAAGUGACAACCCCAAAGCAAGAGUGGCUUAGAGAAGGCAGACAUUUAUUUCUCUGUCAAUUAACAGGAGGCAGAAGCAGGCAGUUUAAUAAAGACACCACAAUCAGGAGGGACUAAGGUUUGUUCUACCAGGUCUUUUUGUCACCCUAACAUGGCUUCCAACUCAAACUCCAAGAUAGCUGCUCCAGAUGGACACCUCACAUCUGCACUCCCUGCAGGAAGGAGGAAGGGUCUGACCUUUCCUUUAAGGGGGAACACUUCCUGUAGCUGGUACACAACACUUCUACUUAGAUCUGACUGGCCAGAAUUUAGUCAUAUGGCCAUGUGUCUCUAUAAGGAAGACUAAAAUGUAAAUUUUAUUUUGGACAACCAUAUGCCCAGCUAAAAAUUAGUGGUUCCAUUACCAAAGAAGUAGGAGAGGAUGAAUAUUGGGAAACAAUUAGCCGUCUCUGCAAUAAUCUUUUAAUAGUUUGCUCUAGAUGCUAUAAAGGCUAGAUUUUUCCAUUUUGUUUUGUUUCUUACUGAUUUUCUUAAAGAAUAAUAGUAGAUAUUUAUAUAUAAACAAUACUUUUUUUCUGUCAUAUUUGCGACUAAUAAAUUUCAAUGCUACUUUUUAAA
RNAcentral lists this long non-coding RNA (894 nucleotides) under Pongo abelii (Sumatran orangutan). RNAcentral describes it as "lincRNA". Lineage: Eukaryota; Metazoa; Chordata; Mammalia; Primates; Hominidae. The record is from RNAcentral.